UACGGAGGGGGCAAGCGUUAUUCGGAAUUAUUGGGCGUAAAGGGCGCGUAGGCGGCAUGCCAAGCGUGUGGUGAAAGCCCGGGGCUCAACCCCGGGUCGGCCGUGCGGACUGGCGUGCUCGAGCACUGUAGGGGCGGGUGGAAUUCCGGGUGUAGCGGUGGAAUGCGUAGAGAUCCGGAAGAACACCGGUGGCGAAGGCGGCCCGCUGGGCAGGAAGGCUCGCAAGAGCCGGCUGACGCUGAGGCGCGACAGCGUGGGGAGCAAACAGG
This 269-nucleotide ribosomal RNA is filed under the name uncultured bacterium. RNAcentral's name for it is "partial 16S ribosomal RNA". It matches the Rfam family "Bacterial small subunit ribosomal RNA", at positions 524 to 776 of the family's 1533-position model. The record is from RNAcentral.